GAUGAAGAACUCAGCGAAAUGCGAUACUUGGUGUGAAUUGCAGAAUCCCGUGAACCAUCGAGUCUUUGAACGCAAGUUGCGCCCGAAGCCAUUAGGCCGAGGGCACGCCUGCCUGGGCGUCACACGUCGUUGCCCCCCCAUCUACUCCUUCGGGAUUGCGGGGGGCGGAUGAUAGCCUCCCGUGCGCCUCGUCGCGCGGUUGGCAUAAAUGCCAAGUCCUCGGCGACGCACGCCACGACAAUCGGUGGUUGCGAAACCUCGGUUGCCCGUCGUGUGCGGUCGUCGCGCAUCGAGGGCUCGAAAAAAUUGCCGGGCUCCGGCUCGGCUUUCAACGCGACCCCAGGUCAGGCGGGGUUACCCGCUGAAUUUAAGCAUAUCAAUAAGCGGAGGA
This 391-nucleotide unclassified non-coding RNA is filed under the name soil metagenome. RNAcentral's name for it is "partial contains 5.8S ribosomal RNA, internal transcribed spacer 2, and large subunit ribosomal RNA". The stretch from base 1 to 122 matches the Rfam family "5.8S ribosomal RNA", at positions 35 to 154 of the family's 154-position model. The record is from RNAcentral.